GAAAUGCGAUAAGUAAUGUGAAUUGCAGAAUGCAGUGAAUCAUCGAAUCUUUGAACGCACAUUGCGCCCGCCAGUAUUCUGGCGGGCAUGCCUGUUCGAGCGUCAUUUCAACCAUCAAGCCCCGGGCUUGUGUUGGGGACCUGCGGCUGCCGCAGGCCCUGAAAACCAGUGGCGGGCUCGCUGUCACACCGAGCGUAGUAGAUUCUCAUCUCGCUCAGGGCGUGCUGCGGGUUCCGGCCGUAAAACAGCCUUAUUUUACCCAAGGUUGACCUCGGAUCAGGUAGGAAGACCCGCUGAACUUAAGC
RNAcentral lists this unclassified non-coding RNA (305 nucleotides) under plant metagenome. RNAcentral's name for it is "partial contains 5.8S ribosomal RNA, internal transcribed spacer 2, and large subunit ribosomal RNA". The stretch from base 1 to 105 matches the Rfam family "5.8S ribosomal RNA", at positions 50 to 154 of the family's 154-position model. The record is from RNAcentral.